GGCCCACAGUCUACUUCGAGAAACUCUAGGAACCACGAGAAGCUCUGAAUUCUGGGAGCGUAGUGCUCUAGUGGU
Molecule: long non-coding RNA, 75 nt
Organism: Sander lucioperca (pikeperch)
Lineage: Eukaryota; Metazoa; Chordata; Actinopteri; Perciformes; Percidae
Exons: 4
Source: RefSeq, a predicted model, not a curated record